This 62-nucleotide transfer RNA is filed under the name Leptocorisa lepida. RNAcentral's name for it is "tRNA-His". Lineage: Eukaryota; Metazoa; Arthropoda; Insecta; Hemiptera; Alydidae. The record is from RNAcentral.
ACUUAGAUAGUUUAAUUUAGAACAGUAAUUUGUGGUGUUAUAGGUGUAUUUUACUCUAAGUU